This is a long non-coding RNA of Glycine soja, 146 nucleotides long. RefSeq lists it as uncharacterized. NCBI's taxonomy places the organism in Eukaryota, Viridiplantae, Streptophyta, Magnoliopsida, Fabales, Fabaceae. The transcript has 3 exons. The record is from RefSeq and is a predicted model, not a curated record.
UCAACUUGAGGGACCUAUUCCCCCGAGCCUUGGAAAAAUGAGCAACUUGCUGAGAUUACUUCUUUGUGCAAAUAAUUUCACAGGGAUAAUACCAGAAACAUAUGGAAAUCUAAAGAAUCUCACUCGGUUUAGGAUAGAUGGGAACA